CUCGCACGCUCUUGUACAGGCUCUAAAUCGGGCCUAAGAGGGAAUACGGAGCGAUCUGUUGAUCGUGACCGAGCUGCCCCCGCAACUGUAAACAGCGAGUCUGCCGCAUCUGCGCCACUGGGCAACCGGGAAGGCCGCGGCCGAUCAAGACCUGUCAGCCAGGAGACCUGCCGACGACGCUAGUCGCGA
Molecule: non-coding RNA, 189 nt
Filed under: Pseudomonadales bacterium
Lineage: Bacteria; Pseudomonadati; Pseudomonadota; Gammaproteobacteria; Pseudomonadales
Source: RNAcentral